Molecule: ribosomal RNA, 253 nt
Filed under: uncultured bacterium
Lineage: Bacteria
Description: partial 16S ribosomal RNA
Rfam family: Bacterial small subunit ribosomal RNA
Source: RNAcentral
UACGAAGGGGGCCAGCGUUGCUCGGAAUUACUGGGCGUAAAGGGAGCGUAGGCGGACAGUUAAGUCAGAGGUGAAAGCCCAGGGCUCAACCCUGGAAUUGCCUUUGAUACUGAUUGUCUUGAGUAUGGGAGAGGUAUGCGGAACUCCGAGUGUAGAGGUGAAAUUCGUAGAUAUUCGGAAGAACACCAGUGGCGAAGGCGGCAUACUGGCCCAUUACUGACGCUGAGGCUCGAAAGCGUGGGGAGCAAACAGG